GACGAACGCUGGCGGCGUGCUUAACACAUGCAAGUCGAACGGAAAGGCCCUGCUUUUGUGGGGUGCUCGAGUGGCGAACGGGUGAGUAACACGUGAGUAACCUGCCCUUGACUUUGGGAUAACUUCAGGAAACUGGGGCUAAUACCGGAUAGGAGCUCCUGCUGCAUGGUGGGGGUUGGAAAGUUUCGGCGGUUGGGGAUGGACUCGCGGCUUAUCAGCUUGUUGGUGGGGUAGGGGCUUACCAAGGCGUGGACGGGUAGCCGGCCUGAGAGGGUGACCGGCCACAUUGGGACUGAGAUACGGCCCAGACUCCUACGGGAGGCAGCAGUGGGGAAUAUUGCACAAUGGGCGGAAGCCUGAUGCAGCAACGCCGCGUGCGGGAUGACGGCCUUCGGGUUGUAAACCGCUUUCGCCUGUGACGAAGCGUGAGUGACGGUAAUGGGUAAAGAAGCACCGGCUAACUACGUG
This 468-nucleotide ribosomal RNA is filed under the name uncultured bacterium. RNAcentral describes it as "partial 16S ribosomal RNA". It matches the Rfam family "Bacterial small subunit ribosomal RNA", at positions 28 to 507 of the family's 1533-position model. The record is from RNAcentral.